UGGGGAAUAUUGCACAAUGGGCGCAAGCCUGAUGCAGCCAUGCCGCGUGUAUGAAGAAGGCCUUCGGGUUGUAAAGUACUUUCAGCGGGGAGGAAGGGAGUAAAGUUAAUACCUUUGCUCAUUGACGUUACCCGCAGAAGAAGCACCGGCUAACUCCGUGCCAGCAGCCGCGGUAAUACGGAGGGUGCAAGCGUUAAUCGGAAUUACUGGGCGUAAAGCGCACGCAGGCGGUUUGUUAAGUCAGAUGUGAAAUCCCCGGGCUCAACCUGGGAACUGCAUCUGAUACUGGCAAGCUUGAGUCUCGUAGAGGGGGGUAGAAUUCCAGGUGUGGCGGUGAAAUGCGUAGAGAUCUGGGGGAAUACCGGUGGCGAAGGCGGCCCCCUGGACGAAGACUGACGCUCAGGUGCGAAAGCGUGGGGAGCAAACAGG
This 429-nucleotide ribosomal RNA is filed under the name Chloroflexota bacterium. Its description in RNAcentral is "Chloroflexi bacterium partial 16S ribosomal RNA". It matches the Rfam family "Bacterial small subunit ribosomal RNA", at positions 355 to 776 of the family's 1533-position model. Lineage: Bacteria; Bacillati; Chloroflexota. The record is from RNAcentral.